Molecule: long non-coding RNA, 398 nt
Organism: Oncorhynchus tshawytscha (Chinook salmon)
Lineage: Eukaryota; Metazoa; Chordata; Actinopteri; Salmoniformes; Salmonidae
Source: Ensembl
GUGGGAUUCCAGUUCCAUGUUUUACAGUAGCUAGACAGUGCGAGGGACAUGUGAAAAAUGUAAGGCCAGCAUACUUCUGAGUAAAGGUAAACUAAAGUAUACAAAUGCCCCGACCUCAGUUCUUAUAACAAUAAGCAAUCUCAACAGUCGUAUGUUAUUGGCGACGAGUGAAACGCACAAGAGAAGAAUGCAAUUUACAAGACGAACUACGUGCGUACCCCUGCUCCUGUGUCCCCUCAGAUCAGCACAUCCUGUCCCAGGAGUUUACACUACAAUCCUGCUGUGCUUUUUGGGAUAAUCAGCCUCUUCUCUGCUGGCCUGUCUUCUGCUUCUGGACACCAUGGAUUGUCAAAUCCAGAUUGUCACAUGGUAGGUCAUAAGUGGGACAUAGUACCAUG